CUAUUAUCACCCCUUUCUUUAGUCAUUGUUGUUGCUGAAAGAAUUUUUGUCUAAAACUCAAAACAUCAAUGUCUUCAACUUAUUUUAUCUGAACUAGUUAAAAAGUGGAACAGAAAAGAAUUUUGGAGGAGCAACUAAGACACUAUUUUUUAAUCCAUUGCUCUUCAACAAUGUUUUCAUCAAACUAAUAAUCAUGGGGGAAGAUAGAAAAUUGUAUCUCUGUGAAAAUGAAGAUGAUACAUUAUUAUAAUCCCAAUUCUAAUAAAAUCUUCACUAGUUUUGCUACUCGAAUAUAAAAAUACAGCAAAUCAACACUGGUCAAAAGUGAUGAUGCUGCAUUUUCUUUUUCAAAACCCAAUGCUCUAGUAUCAUAGAAUAUAAAAAGGAAAGCAUUAGUACAGUAGCUACAGUUUGCUUACCUUUUUAUAUUUAUUUGAAUAGAGCCAAGUGCUGAGAUGGGAUACCUGGAGAUGGUAGAACAUUUUGCUCUUCAGUUCUGUCAUCAGGGCUCUUUCUUUUCACUCCAUCUGCCAAUUAUGAUGUCUCCCUGCUCAUGAGCGAAGUAUGCGAACUUGGGAGAAUCGUCAUGCUAUGUUACUAAUCAAGCUCACAAGUCUAGUAAAUUGGGGCAUUAAAUAUGUUUGUGUGAACAUACAUGCACAUGCAUGUGUUUUAUGUGUACACAUGUUUGAAAUUAAAGCUCAGUUUUUGUUUUGAACAAAAGGCAUCUAUGUCUGUAACAGCCUAUUUGGAUUUUAUUUAAUAGGUGUUUUGUGAAAUGAUUCUCCUGCCUCAGCUUCCCAAGUAGCUGGGAUUACAGGCACACGCCACCAUGCCCAGCUAAGUUUUUUAUAUUUUAGUAGAGAUGGGGUUCCACCGUGUUGCCAAGGCUGGUCUCGAACUCCUGAGCUCAGGCAAUCCACCCAUCUCAGCCUCCCAAAGUGCCAGGAUUACAGGCGUGAGAGAUUUCUCAGUCCACAGCAGGACCCUUCUGACAGAGGCAGUGGCUGAAGCGAUACGUGGCCUCUCUGUGAAGCUAACAUUUCCAAACCCACGAGAGACUUUUCCAAGAAGAAUUAUAGUCAUCCAUUCAGAGCAGCAGGAGCUUCAGAAGAUCUGGGACUUCAGGUGUGAGAGUGACAGACAGGACACUGAGGAGCAGUUGCAUGAAAGGGGAGAGGAGGCAUUUUGUUUGUUUUCUAUGUAUUUGUAUACUUAUUUAUAAUCCCGAGUGAUGUUUUCCUUUACAUAUUUCCUUUAAUGCAUAUCCCAACUCUACAAUUAUUUAUGUUCAAUAUUACCUCAUAUCUCCAUCUCAAAGCAAGUGCAUGCUGAGGCCUCACACCCAGCUCAGCCCGUGGGUAUGUGCAUGCGAAGUCACAGAAUCACUUUAGGUUAGAGUUUACGCAUUGGCUGGCUUUUAUCUGCAAAGCAGGUACUGUUUCCAGGCUACAUGUAAUAACAGAAAUACAUCAAGGAUUUGACAAUCUUCUCCAGCUUUUGUUGUAUGACCUCAUCAGGGGCCCAGCAAUGCAUGGAGAAGCAGUCUCCAACCUGUUGAAUUAGAUGAUAGAAAAAAAAUAAAAGCCUGGCAUUGUUCUGAGUCACAUGAUGAAAAGUCAUCACUUUAACCAGGCACCUUUCAUAUGUAGAGGUGGCACUAAGUUAAAUAAUCACCAGGCCUGGCACUCCCUAAUUAGGAGAUAUGAACCAAGCAUUUCAGUUUCACUGAAUCAAUCUUUCUUUCUCCUUCUUUCUUUCUUUCUUUCUUUCUUUCUUUCUUUCUUUCUUUCUUUCUUUCUUUCUUUCUUUCUUUCUCUCCUUCCUUC
Molecule: long non-coding RNA, 1829 nt
Filed under: Homo sapiens (human)
Lineage: Eukaryota; Metazoa; Chordata; Mammalia; Primates; Hominidae
Description: non-protein coding lnc-FAM110B-10:1
Source: RNAcentral